AGUACACGCCAAAAUGCAAGUUUGGAGAAGCACCCAAUUAGGUGCCGGGGCUUCUCCCGUUUUUUCCUAGACGGGAGAAGA
This 81-nucleotide transfer RNA is filed under the name Cyrtodactylus pyinyaungensis. RNAcentral describes it as "tRNA-Cys". The record is from RNAcentral. Lineage: Eukaryota; Metazoa; Chordata; Lepidosauria; Squamata; Gekkonidae.